RNAcentral lists this ribosomal RNA (471 nucleotides) under uncultured organism. Its description in RNAcentral is "partial 16S ribosomal RNA". It matches the Rfam family "Bacterial small subunit ribosomal RNA", at positions 335 to 797 of the family's 1533-position model. The record is from RNAcentral.
ACUCCUGCGGGAGGCAGCAGUGGGGAAUUUUGGACAAUGGGUGAAAGCCUGAUCCAGCAAUGCCGCGUGAGUGAAGAAGGCCUUCGGGUUGUAAAGCUCUUUUGUCAGGGAAGAAACGGUGAAAGCUAAUAUCUUUUGCUAAUGACGGUACCUGAAGAAUAAGCACCGGCUAACUACGUGCCAGCAGCCGCGGUAAUACGUAGGGUGCAAGCGUUAAUCGGAAUUACUGGGCGUAAAGCGUGCGCAGGCGGUUUUGUAAGUCUGAUGUGAAAUCCCCGGGCUCAACCUGGGAAUUGCAUUGGAGACUGCAAGGCUAGAAUCUGGCAGAGGGGGGUAGAAUUCCACGUGUAGCAGUGAAAUGCGUAGAUAUGUGGAGGAACACCGAUGGCGAAGGCAGCCCCCUGGGUCAAGAUUGACGCUCAUGCACGAAAGCGUGGGGAGCAAACAGGAUUAGAUACCCUAGUAGUCCCA